This is a non-coding RNA of Biscogniauxia marginata, 103 nucleotides long. NCBI's taxonomy places the organism in Eukaryota, Fungi, Ascomycota, Sordariomycetes, Xylariales, Xylariaceae. The record is from the annotation of a GenBank genome assembly.
GGUGAGAUGGCCGAGUUGGUUAUGGCGUAUGGUUAAGGUUCUGCAAGCUUAACAUUAAUUCCAUAUGGAGCAAUCCGCGUGGGUUCGAGUCCCACUCUCAUCA